Molecule: long non-coding RNA, 648 nt
Filed under: Medicago truncatula (barrel medic)
Lineage: Eukaryota; Viridiplantae; Streptophyta; Magnoliopsida; Fabales; Fabaceae
Description: lncRNA gene38626
Source: RNAcentral
CGCGUAUAUUUGUUGAGUGAGUUCAUUACAGUUAAAAUAUAAUGAUGAAUUUUGUGAAAUCCGUAAAGAAAUAGAAAUAAAUAGGUUUAAUUACAUUUUUGGUCCUUGGAUUUUGACCAACUCACGAAAUUGGUCCUACCAUAUUUUUUACAAUUUUAGUCUUAUCUCCCUAUUUCCAACUCCAAAAAUGCACAGAAAUGACUACCUAUGUUCAACCAUGAAAUAAACAAGGAAUAAAUCAUGUGGUACAAAAAAUCUACUUUAUUCAGCAUAAUCAUUAGCAUAGUAACAAAAUGACACCGCACAAAAUAUUCUAAGAUAUAAUAUAUUGCUUAGAUCUAGUAAACUCUUGGGUCAAAAACAAGGAAUCGUCGGUGUUAACCCAUCCACAACGGUGGUUAACACACCUUACUUCAUAAGGAGGCAUACAAAUUUGUGGACAAUCGGCAUCAAUUUCACAUACAACAACUCCUGUAAUAAAAAAGAUAUAAUAAUGUUAUUAAAAUGAAAUAAAAGAUUAAGUAUGAAUUAAAGAAGGAAAAUCAAGAGAUGAUAUAAUGUUACCAUUAACUUGUAAAGUGAUAAUAAAUAUGGACAGAAAUGGAAUCAUAUUAUAAACAAACUUCAUAAUUUUAGCCAUGAUUUCUU